UUAAGCGACUAAGCGUACACGGUGGAUGCCCUGGCAGUCAGAGGCGAUGAAGGACGUGCUAAUCUGCGAUAAGCGUCGGUGAGGUGAUAUGAACCGUUAUAACCGGCGAUUUCCGAAUGGGGAAACCCAGUGUGAUUCGUCACACUAUCAUUAACUGAAUCCAUAGGUUAAUGAGGCGAACCGGGGGAACUGAAACAUCUAAGUACCCCGAGGAAAAGAAAUCAACCGAGAUUCCCCCAGUAGCGGCGAGCGAACGGGGAGGAGCCCAGAGCCUGAAUCAGUGUGUGUGUUAGUGGAAGCGUCUGGAAAGGCGCGCGAUACAGGGUGACAGCCCCGUACACAAAAAUGCACAUACUGUGAGCUCGAUGAGUAGGGCGGGACACGUGGUAUCCUGUCUGAAUAUGGGGGGACCAUCCUCCAAGGCUAAAUACUCCUGACUGACCGAUAGUGAACCAGUACCGUGAGGGAAAGGCGAAAAGAACCCCGGCGAGGGGAGUGAAAAAGAACCUGAAACCGUGUACGUACAAGCAGUGGGAGCCUCUUAAUGGGGUGACUGCGUACCUUUUGUAUAAUGGGUCAGCGACUUAUAUUCUGUAGCAAGGUUAACCGAAUAGGGGAGCCGAAGGGAAACCGAGUCUUAACUGGGCGUUAAGUUGCAGGGUAUAGACCCGAAACCCGGUGAUCUAGCCAUGGGCAGGUUGAAGGUUGGGUAACACUAACUGGAGGACCGAACCGACUAAUGUUGAAAAAUUAGCGGAUGACUUGUGGCUGGGGGUGAAAGGCCAAUCAAACCGGGAGAUAGCUGGUUCUCCCCGAAAGCUAUUUAGGUAGCGCCUCGUGAAUUCAUCUCCGGGGGUAGAGCACUGUUUCGGCAAGGGGGUCAUCCCGACUUACCAACCCGAUGCAAACUGCGAAUACCGGAGAAUGUUAUCACGGGAGACACACGGCGGGUGCUAACGUCCGUCGUGAAGAGGGAAACAACCCAGACCGCCAGCUAAGGUCCCAAAGUCAUGGUUAAGUGGGAAACGAUGUGGGAAGGCCCAGACAGCCAGGAUGUUGGCUUAGAAGCAGCCAUCAUUUAAAGAAAGCGUAAUAGCUCACUGGUCGAGUCGGCCUGCGCGGAAGAUGUAACGGGGCUAAACCAUGCACCGAAGCUGCGGCAGCGACACUAUGUGUUGUUGGGUAGGGGAGCGUUCUGUAAGCCUGUGAAGGUGUGCUGUGAGGCAUGCUGGAGGUAUCAGAAGUGCGAAUGCUGACAUAAGUAACGAUAAAGCGGGUGAAAAGCCCGCUCGCCGGAAGACCAAGGGUUCCUGUCCAACGUUAAUCGGGGCAGGGUGAGUCGACCCCUAAGGCGAGGCCGAAAGGCGUAGUCGAUGGGAAACAGGUUAAUAUUCCUGUACUUGGUGUUACUGCGAAGGGGGGACGGAGAAGGCUAUGUUGGCCGGGCGACGGUUGUCCCGGUUUAAGCGUGUAGGCUGGUUUUCCAGGCAAAUCCGGAAAACCAAGGCUGAGGCGUGAUGACGAGGCACUACGGUGCUGAAGCGACAAAUGCCCUGCUUCCAGGAAAAGCCUCUAAGCAUCAGGUAACAUCAAAUCGUACCCCAAACCGACACAGGUGGUCAGGUAGAGAAUACCAAGGCGCUUGAGAGAACUCGGGUGAAGGAACUAGGCAAAAUGGUGCCGUAACUUCGGGAGAAGGCACGCUGAUAUGUAGGUGAAGCGACUUGCUCGUGGAGCUGAAAUCAGUCGAAGAUACCAGCUGGCUGCAACUGUUUAUUAAAAACACAGCACUGUGCAAACACGAAAGUGGACGUAUACGGUGUGACGCCUGCCCGGUGCCGGAAGGUUAAUUGAUGGGGUUAGCGGCAACGCGAAGCUCUUGAUCGAAGCCCCGGUAAACGGCGGCCGUAACUAUAACGGUCCUAAGGUAGCGAAAUUCCUUGUCGGGUAAGUUCCGACCUGCACGAAUGGCGUAAUGAUGGCCAGGCUGUCUCCACCCGAGACUCAGUGAAAUUGAACUCGCUGUGAAGAUGCAGUGUACCCGCGGCAAGACGGAAAGACCCCGUGAACCUUUACUAUAGCUUGACACUGAACAUUGAGCCUUGAUGUGUAGGAUAGGUGGGAGGCUUUGAAGUGUGGACGCCAGUCUGCAUGGAGCCGACCUUGAAAUACCACCCUUUAAUGUUUGAUGUUCUAACGUUGGCCCGUAAUCCGGGUUGCGGACAGUGUCUGGUGGGUAGUUUGACUGGGGCGGUCUCCUCCUAAAGAGUAACGGAGGAGCACGAAGGUUGGCUAAUCCUGGUCGGACAUCAGGAGGUUAGUGCAAUGGCAUAAGCCAGCUUGACUGCGAGCGUGACGGCGCGAGCAGGUGCGAAAGCAGGUCAUAGUGAUCCGGUGGUUCUGAAUGGAAGGGCCAUCGCUCAACGGAUAAAAGGUACUCCGGGGAUAACAGGCUGAUACCGCCCAAGAGUUCAUAUCGACGGCGGUGUUUGGCACCUCGAUGUCGGCUCAUCACAUCCUGGGGCUGAAGUAGGUCCCAAGGGUAUGGCUGUUCGCCAUUUAAAGUGGUACGCGAGCUGGGUUUAGAACGUCGUGAGACAGUUCGGUCCCUAUCUGCCGUGGGCGCUGGAGAACUGAGGGGGGCUGCUCCUAGUACGAGAGGACCGGAGUGGACGCAUCACUGGUGUUCGGGUUGUCAUGCCAAUGGCACUGCCCGGUAGCUAAAUGCGGAAGAGAUAAGUGCUGAAAGCAUCUAAGCACGAAACUUGCCCCGAGAUGAGUUCUCCCUGAGACUUAGAGUCUCCUGAAGGAACGUUGAAGACGACGACGUUGAUAGGCCGGGUGUGUAAGCGCAGCGAUGCGUUGAGCUAACCGGUACUAAUGAACCGUGAGGCUUAACCUU
This 2902-nucleotide ribosomal RNA is filed under the name Escherichia coli KTE84. RNAcentral describes it as "bacterial LSU rRNA". It matches the Rfam family "Bacterial large subunit ribosomal RNA". The record is from RNAcentral. Lineage: Bacteria; Pseudomonadati; Pseudomonadota; Gammaproteobacteria; Enterobacterales; Enterobacteriaceae.